AUUGAACGCUGGCGGCAUGCCUUACACAUGCAAGUCGAACGUGAAAGCGGGGCAACCCGCAAGUAGAGUGGCGGACGGGUGAGUAAUACAUCGGAACGUGUCCAGUAAUGGGGAGUAACCUAGCGAAAGUUAGGCUAAUACCGCAUACGAUCUGCGGAUGAAAGCGGGGGAUGCGGCACUAAAGGCUUUUGGCGGAAGGUGGCCAAAGGUGAGUCAAGAGCUUUUAGUGCNGCACCUCGCGUUAUUGGAGCGGCUGAUGUCUGAUUAGCUAGUUGGUGAGGUAAAGGCUUACCAAGGCGACGAUCAGUAGCUGGUCUGAGAGGACGGCCAGCCACACUGGGACUGAGACACGGCCCAGACCCC
RNAcentral lists this ribosomal RNA (363 nucleotides) under uncultured bacterium. RNAcentral's name for it is "bacterial SSU rRNA". It matches the Rfam family "Bacterial small subunit ribosomal RNA", at positions 30 to 339 of the family's 1533-position model. The record is from RNAcentral.